This is a long non-coding RNA of Helianthus annuus (common sunflower), 2017 nucleotides long. RefSeq lists it as uncharacterized. Lineage: Eukaryota; Viridiplantae; Streptophyta; Magnoliopsida; Asterales; Asteraceae. The transcript is spliced from 9 exons. The record is from RefSeq and is a predicted model, not a curated record.
UCUCCUUCACUUUCAUAAGCGGCAAAAGGGUUUUCUCAAUUCCCCUUCAUUCGAUUUUGAAACCGCUGCUCUUCAUAUGGAAACCACAAUCAAUCACCAAUCACUUGAAAAUCUUCUACUUUCUCACACGCUUCCCCCUUCCACAAUACGAUUCACAACCCUAAUUCAUCAAUCAUCGCUUUUUCCUCCCUAGGUUUUUUCCUCUACCAGUUUGUUCUUCAUUAAUCGUCGCUAUUUUCCUCCCAGCAGUUCCUCCAUAACAAAGAAAGUUACUCGAUUCCGUCUCGAUUUGUUAUCCUAUUCUGAUGUUUGGCAUCCAGGGUGGAAUCAACAAAAAGAUCAUCACUGAUACAGAUCUGACAGCGAAUUUGAAGAAGCGGGCUGACAAUUUUGAAACUUUUUUACUCUUUGAAGAAUCCGAGGUUAGUUAUAUGUUUGUUGUUGUUCUUCAAGAUUUUCUGAAAUUCUUGCUGAGAUGCUCUAACCACUGCUUGCUAGCGUUAAAAAGGAUAAUACGGUAUGAGGUUUAUGAAAAUGUUUAUUAAUCAAGUUAAGUUUGUGUUUUGUUGCCCAUUAAGUUUUUUGAAAACGGUUCUACAAAUCAUAUUUUUUAAGUUGCUCUGUUAUGCACAUGGAAAGGUUUGGUGUAUUUUCUGCAGGUUAUUCAGGUAUGGACCACCCUGCAGUUUUUUGCUGCUCAAUUGCAAAUUCAGGGUCUGAGAUUAUAUUAGCCAUUCUUGGUCUUUUCUUCACGCAAUCACAACAAGGGGUACGAUUUGAUAUGUACGAAUUGUUUGUUACUUUUGGUUCAAGUCCGUCUGAUUCACAAUCCAGUGGUCCGCGACGGUUGCUGCUACUUGAUUUGUUCCGUUCGAUUGUUAUCUAGUAUGAAUCAUUGGUCUCCAGUCAACUCCGUGUGGCAAUUAAGUGAAGCAAAUGGAACUCUUGGAGAUAUAAAUGAUAUUAUUUAUGGUGGUGAUUUUGUCCUGCUGUGGACGCUGUGGAUAUCUGAUUCAACUCAGGCUUGUGGCAACAACUAGCUGUUCGAGCAAAAUAUGUUUUUUUGUAUAAUCUUUACAAGCUAAAUGAGUCAGUUAAACUGUUCAUUUAGAGGUUCCAUUUCAUGAACUAAGAUUGGUAGCAUGCUUUGUUGGUCCAUUAUGUUGUUAAGAAACUAGAAAGAGAUGGUCAUCACACUUGAUUUGUUAAAAGUUCUAUAGCCUUUAUCACACCUGAUUAGUUAAUAUAUGGUAAAAGAAGGUGGCACAAUGGUUACAAUAUGAGUUGGGUAAAAGAAGACCAAAAGAAAUUCAAGCAAAAGAAAUUAAGAUGCAGUCCAAGACGGGUCAGAGUUUUGCGAGCAGGCUAAUGGAAGUCAGGAAUAAAAGUGCACAUUUGUGGGCUGGUUAUUAUAUUGUGAGUGUGUGCGGGGUUAAUUGAGUGGCCUGGUCCAAGUUCGCCGGCCCAACAUUGGAUCGAGACUAAUGAAUGCCUAUGAAGUUGUGUAUUGCUAAUUUGGAUUGGCCUGGCCUAAAAGACCUUAACGAUGAAGCACAUAAAAAGGUAUCCUAAUUUAUUUUAUCCAUUUGGACUAGGCGAAUAAGGGAUGGGAUUGGGUACACAAGUAUAUUAUAAAUAAUAUUGGGUAUGUUGGGCUCGAUGUGCACUAUCAGGUUCAUGUUAUGGGGCUGGGUUCGAAUAAAAAAGGCUGUUGAACAAACAAAUGGUAUUAAUAGAGGGAAAGAUAAUUAUGGGUGGCCCAAAUGGAGGAACCGAUUAUCGAUGAAAUGCCAAGCUCACUUAUGGAACAAAAAGAAUCUAAAUUAUCAAAUUGGAUCUAGCAAAGCCAUUUUUAUAAUGGAAGGCAUGAUGAGUUCUCUACAAGGUCCAGUUGAGGUAAGUGUAGGUAAUGAGUCUUAAACAAAGGCUAAAGCUAAUACAUUCAGGUAUUAUUUUUUUUUUGUGUAGAAGCUCUAUAUAAACAAUCUCCAAUUAUCAGAGUCAUUCUUUUGGUGUA